RNAcentral lists this ribosomal RNA (484 nucleotides) under uncultured bacterium. Its description in RNAcentral is "partial 16S ribosomal RNA". It matches the Rfam family "Bacterial small subunit ribosomal RNA", at positions 30 to 507 of the family's 1533-position model. The record is from RNAcentral.
AUUGAACGCUGGCGGCAUGCCUUACACAUGCCAGUCGAACGGCAGCGCGGGAGCAAUCCUGGCGGCGAGUGGCGAACGGGUGAGUAAUACAUCGGAACGUGCCCAAUCGUGGGGGAUAACGCAGCGAAAGCUGUGCUAAUACCGCAUACGAUCUACGGACGAAAGCAGGGGAUCGCAAGACCUUGCGCGAAUGGAGCGGCCGAUGGCAGAUUAGGUAGUUGGUGAGGUAAAGGCUCACCAAGCCUCCGAUCUGUAGCUGGUCUGAGAGGACGACCAGCCACACUGGAACUGAGACACGGCCCAGACUCCUACGGGAGGCAGCAGUGGGGAAUUUUGGACAAUGGGCGAAAGCCUGAUCCAGCCAUGCCGCGUGCAGGAUGAAGGCCUUCGGGUUGUAAACUGCUUUUGUACGGAACGAAACGGUGUUUUCUAAUAAAGAAGGCUAAUGACGGUACCGUAAGAAUAAGCACCGGCUAACUACGUG